CAGGAAGGUCCGAGGCUGGGGGAGCAGCCGUUGGCUCUGGUGCCCCUGGGGGUGGGAGCACGAGUGGGCAAGGAUGAUGGUGAGGCAGAGGAGGCGGCCCCGAGGGAGCGCCCGGCUGAGAGGCGGGGGGCCGAGGGGCCCGGGGAGCGGGCGUCACCGAGGGCCCUGGAAGCGGCAGGGCUGGGGGAGAGGAGACGCGUGUGUGGAGCAUGGGGACCCCAGCCCAGCUCCCACUUGCAGACCUGGGCCGCGGGCUGCCGGCCGAGUGGCCGGGGGGCCUGGCUGCCCAGGAGGCGGGCCGGGGCCGCGGCCGGGGGCGCGGAGCGGAGUUAGGGUCGCCAGGCCGAGCCGAGGUGGGACGGACCGACGCAGAGAGGAAGGGAAGCCACCUGGCCUGAAGAUCCUGUCUCUAAGAUCCCAUUCUGAGACAGAGUUUUGCUCUUCUUGCCCAGGCUGGAGUGCAAUGGCAUGAUGUUGGCUCACCACAACCUCCACUUCCUGGGUUCAAGUGAUUCUCCUGCCUCAGCCUCCUGUGUAGCUGGGAUUACAGGCAUGCUCCACCACGACCGACUAAUUUUGCAUUUUUAGUAGAGACGGGAUUUCUCCAUGUUGUUCAUGUUGGUUUCGAACUCCCAACCUCAGGUGAUCUGCCUGCCUCCGCCUCCCAAAGUGCUGGGAUUACAGGUUGUGAGCCACUAUGCCCGGCCUCUCUUAAUCUAUUUCUGAGAGUUCUGUUACAUAUUCUGAUGUUUAAUCUUCAGUUAUAUGUAUUAGAUAUCUUCCACCAAAGUACAGUUUGCCUUUUAAUUUUAUUAGAUUUUCUAUUGCAUGUUGAAAAGUAGGUGAUAUUUUUGUGUCUUAUCUAAGAAAUACUUCCUGCUCUAAGUCCCGAAGAUGUUCUUUUAAGUUUGGCUGUUCAUGUUUAGCAAUUUGAAGUGCCAAAAUUUUGUAAUUAUAUCAUGAAGAAGGGAACUAAUUUUACUUUUUCCUUCUAAAGAACUGGCCAGUUUAGUACUAUUGAAUAGUUUCAUUUUUUCCCCACUGAUCUGAUUAAAAGAAAAUUUCCCGGUAUCUUUUAUGUAUCUAGUUCUACGUUUUGAGGCUCUCUACAGUUUUGCAGCAAAUCUGGCUAUCUGGUAAUGUGUAUUUGCAUCAUGCCUUCUUCCAAAUUUCUUGCUGUUGGUCCUUUAUGUCAUGUGAACUUUUGGAUCUGUUUCUCAGCUUUCAUUAAAAAUACUGUAGGCAAUUUGACUGGAAUUUCUUUGAAUUUAUAGAUGUUCAUGAGAAUCACCAUCCUUAAAAAAUGUAUCCUACCAUUUGUAUAGAGCUUCAUGCUUUCAGGCAUUACUGUUUUCUCUAUAAAGAUUUUAAAUAUAUCAUUAGUUUUGUCGUUGUUAUGAAUGAUACUUAAAAAAUGAAUAUUUUCUACUUUUUUAUUAGUUUUCAAAUAUUCUUUACUGAACACUUUUGCUAAAUUCUUUAUUAGUUUUAAUAGUUCUUAUUGUCAGUUGGAUUUCCUGUAUAGAUUAUUCUUAAUAUAU
Molecule: long non-coding RNA, 1541 nt
Filed under: Homo sapiens (human)
Lineage: Eukaryota; Metazoa; Chordata; Mammalia; Primates; Hominidae
Description: HSALNT0390245
Source: RNAcentral